UACGUAGGUGGCAAGCGUUGUCCGGAUUUACUGGGCGUAAAGAGCGCGCAGGCGGUCGUUCAAGUCGCGUGUGAAAGCCCCCGGCUCAACUGGGGAGGGUCACGCGAUACUGAUCGACUCGAAGGCAGGAGAGGGUAGUGGAAUUCCCGGUGUAGUGGUGAAAUGCGUAGAUAUGCGGAGGAACACCGAUGGCGAAGGCAAUCCCCUGGGCCUGCACUGACGCUCAUGCACGAAAGCGUGGGGAGCAAACAGG
Molecule: ribosomal RNA, 253 nt
Filed under: uncultured bacterium
Lineage: Bacteria
Description: partial 16S ribosomal RNA
Rfam family: Bacterial small subunit ribosomal RNA
Source: RNAcentral